CAGCGUUAUUCGGAAUUUACUGGGCGUAAAAGCGUGGCCAGGCUGUUUUUGUAAGUUUUGUCGUGAAAGUCCCGGGCCUCAACCUGGGAAUUGCGAUGAAGACUGCAAAGCUUGAAUCUGGCAGAGGGGGGGUAGAUUCCACGUGUAGCAGUGAAAUGCGUAGAGGAUGUGGAGGAACACCGAUGGCGAAGGCAGCCCCCUGGGUCAAAGAUUGACGCUCAUGCACGAAAGCGUGGGGAGCAAACAGGAUUAGAUACCCUGUAGUCCACGCCCUAAACGAUGUCUACUAGUUGUCGGGUUUUAAUUAACUUGGUAACGCAGCUAACGCGUGAAGUAGACCGCCUGGGGAGUACGGUCGCAAGAUUAAAACUCAAAGGAAUUGACGGGGACCCGCACAAGCGGUGGAUGAUGUGGAUUAAUUCGAUGCAACGCGAAAAACCUUACCUACCCUUGACAUGUACGGAAGGCCGGAGAGAUUUGGCUGUGCUCGAAAGAGAACCGUAACACAGGUGCUGCAUGGCUGUCGUCAGCUCGUGUCGUGAGAUGUUGGGUUAAGUCCCGCAACGAGCGCAACCCUUGUCAUUAGUUGCUACGAAAGGGCACUCUAAUGAGACUGCCGGUGACAAACCGGAGGAAGGUGGGGAUGACGUCAAGUCCUCAUGGCCCUUAUGGGUAGGGCUUCACACGUCAUACAAUGGUACAUACAGAGCGCCGCCAACCCGCGAGGGGGAGCUAAUCGCAGAAAGUGUAUCGUAGUCCGGAUUGUAGUCUGCAACUCGACUACAUGAAGUUGGAAUCGCUAGUAAUCGCGGAUCAGCAUGUCGCGGUGAAUACGUUCCCGGGUCUUGCAAACACCGCCCGUC
Molecule: ribosomal RNA, 863 nt
Filed under: uncultured bacterium
Lineage: Bacteria
Description: bacterial SSU rRNA
Rfam family: Bacterial small subunit ribosomal RNA
Source: RNAcentral